This is a small nuclear RNA of Pongo abelii (Sumatran orangutan), 104 nucleotides long. NCBI's taxonomy places the organism in Eukaryota, Metazoa, Chordata, Mammalia, Primates, Hominidae. The record is from Ensembl.
AUGCUUGCUUCAUCAGCACAUAUACUAAAAUUGGAACAAUACAGAGAUUAGCCUGGCCCCUGUGCAAGGAUGACAUGCAAAUUCGUGAAGUGUUUCAUAUUUAU